UAGGGAAUCUUCCGCAAUGGACGAAAGUCUGACGGAGCAACGCCGCGUGAGUGAAGAAGGAUUUCGGUUCGUAAAACUCUGUUGUUAGGGAAGAAAAAAUGUAUAGUAACUAUAUACAAAAGAGACGGUACCUAACCAGAAAGCCACGGCUAACUACGUGCCAGCAGCCGCGGUAAUACGUAGGUGGCAAGCGUUGUCCGGAAUUAUUGGGCGUAAAGCGCGCGCAGGUGGUUUAGAAAGUCUGAUGUGAAAGCCCACGGCUCAACCGUGGAGGGUCAUUGGAAACUAAUAAACUUGAGUGCAGGAGAGAAAAGUGGAAUUCCUAGUGUAGCGGUGACAUGCGUAAAGAUUAGGAGGAACACCGGUGGCGAAAGCGGCUUUUUGGCCUGCAACUGACACUGAGGCGCGAAAGCGUGGGGAGCAAACAGG
This 429-nucleotide ribosomal RNA is filed under the name Verrucomicrobiota bacterium. RNAcentral's name for it is "Verrucomicrobia bacterium partial 16S ribosomal RNA". It matches the Rfam family "Bacterial small subunit ribosomal RNA", at positions 355 to 776 of the family's 1533-position model. Lineage: Bacteria; Pseudomonadati; Verrucomicrobiota. The record is from RNAcentral.